RNAcentral lists this ribosomal RNA (718 nucleotides) under Pseudomonas coleopterorum. RNAcentral describes it as "bacterial SSU rRNA". The record is from RNAcentral. Lineage: Bacteria; Pseudomonadati; Pseudomonadota; Gammaproteobacteria; Pseudomonadales; Pseudomonadaceae.
UCAGAUUGAACGCUGGCGGCAGGCCUAACACAUGCAAGUCGAGCGGUUGANGGAAGCUUGCUUCCUGAUUCAGCGGCGGACGGGUGAGUAAUGCCUAGGAAUCUGCCUGGUAGUGGGGGACAACGUUUCGAAAGGAACGCUAAUACCGCAUACGUCCUACGGGAGAAAGCAGGGGACCUUCGGGCCUUGCGCUAUCAGAUGAGCCUAGGUCGGAUUAGCUAGUUGGUGAGGUAAUGGCUCACCAAGGCGACGAUCCGUAACUGGUCUGAGAGGAUGAUCAGUCACACUGGAACUGAGACACGGUCCAGACUCCUACGGGAGGCAGCAGUGGGGAAUAUUGGACAAUGGGCGAAAGCCUGAUCCAGCCAUGCCGCGUGUGUGAAGAAGGUCUUCGGAUUGUAAAGCACUUUAAGUUGGGAGGAAGGGCAGUCAGCGAAUACCUUGCUGUCUUGACGUUACCGACAGAAUAAGCACCGGCUAACUCUGUGCCAGCAGCCGCGGUAAUACAGAGGGUGCAAGCGUUAAUCGGAAUUACUGGGCGUAAAGCGCGCGUAGGUGGUUUGUUAAGUUGRAUGUGAAAUCCCCGGGCUCAACCUGGGAACUGCAUCCAAAACUGGCAAGCUAGAGUAGGGCAGAGGGUGGUGGAAUUUCCUGUGUAGCGGUGAAAUGCGUAGAUAUAGGAAGGAACACCAGUGGCGAAGGCGACCACCUGGGCUCA